This 301-nucleotide ribosomal RNA is filed under the name uncultured bacterium. RNAcentral describes it as "partial 16S ribosomal RNA". It matches the Rfam family "Bacterial small subunit ribosomal RNA", at positions 509 to 809 of the family's 1533-position model. The record is from RNAcentral.
CAGUCGCCGCGGGAACACGAAGGGUGCAAGCGUUAAUCGGAAUUACUGGGCGUAAAGCGUGCGUAGGCGGUGAGUUAAGUCUGCUGUGAAAUCCCCGGGCUCAACCUGGGAAUGGCAGUGGAUACUGGCUCGCUAGAGUGUGUCAGAGGAUGGUGGAAUUCCCGGUGUAGCGGUGAAAUGCGUAGAGAUCGGGAGGAACAUCAGUGGCGAAGGCGGCCAUCUGGGACAACACUGACGCUGAGGCACGAAAGCGUGGGGAGCAAACAGGAUUAGAUACCCCAGUAGUCCCUGUCUCUUAUAU